This 357-nucleotide long non-coding RNA is filed under the name Jatropha curcas. RNAcentral's name for it is "long non-coding RNA (JCUR_LNC002134)". The record is from RNAcentral. Lineage: Eukaryota; Viridiplantae; Streptophyta; Magnoliopsida; Malpighiales; Euphorbiaceae.
UUUUCUUCUCAUUGCUCUAUCUCCGAUAGCAUGAAGCAGAUAAUGAAGAAAGAGAGAUAGAAAGUGUCUAGUGAACCGCCCUUUAGUUUAGAAAGAGGCUUAAGUCAUCAGUUCGAAUUCGAAGAAGGGAACUAGCUGCUUCAUUUAGGUCUAGCAGAAGGAGUUGGUAUGGUGACGGUGACCCUUGAUGUGACUAAGGCAGCUUUACAGUAAGUAUGAAAAUGGAGGGGAAUUCUAUUGGGCUGAAUUAAAGGCAGGUGACUUUUGGUUAGUGUUCAGUGACAAUGGUAGCUAACAUUACAUGAGAUGCGGUUGGAAGCGAGGCAGCAGUCUUUCUAUUCCUCUCUACUGAAGUUU